AUUCAAGGGAUGGGAAUCGAACCCACGACCUUCCGCUUACCGGGCAGAUGCCAUGACCACUAGGCUACCCUGGA
RNAcentral lists this transfer RNA (74 nucleotides) under Cordylochernes scorpioides. RNAcentral describes it as "tRNA-Thr". The record is from RNAcentral. Lineage: Eukaryota; Metazoa; Arthropoda; Arachnida; Pseudoscorpiones; Chernetidae.